UAAGAUCUGGGAUCAUUCUCGUUUUUAACAAAUUUCGUUUUUCUUUGUUUUCGAUUUUAGACGGUGGUGUUUAGACGGUGGUGGUGGUCGUGGCAGUGAGGUGGUGGUGGUCGUGGCAGUGAGGUGCUGCUGCUGGUGGUUGGUCAAUGGGAUGGGUGGGAGUAGUUGUGCUAAUUACCUUACUUAAUUUUGUUAAUAUAUUUUCUCUUUCCUGCUUAAUUUUUCUGCUUUAUGCUUUUAUCAAUAUAAUACAUUAUUCCUAGUUUUCUCCCCAAACAGUAAAUGCCCUGAAAAUUAUGGAACGGAGGGAGUAUUAUCUGUUAAUGUGUUGUGGAUUGACUAUGUUUUCCAAUCACUUAAUUCUUAUUCUAGAUAGUUGUGUAAACCUACUAGAGGUAGUUUCAAGAAGAGUGUUAUUCGAUGUUGUAGUACAGCCCUGCUAUAUCAGAUUUAGAGCUAAAGAAAUUAAGCGAAGUGGAACCAGACUGCUGUAUGCAGCCCUGAUAUUUUAGUUCAGAAUGUUAAACACGAUGUAUAUGCUAGAAUUAGCUCUAUAAUGCCUAAAAUUCCAGUUGCAGAGAUAAGGACUGGUUUAAUUGUACUCUGGCUUAGCUGAUUGUAUGUGAGUCUAUUGUCUCUUGGUCUUUGUUGUUGUUUUGCAGGUGUUUCUACAAGUUAUUAGGGCUUUGAUGGUACCCUUUCUAGAAUUCUGAAUAUAUGUUGCUUAAUGAUGCAUUUGCAACUCUAUGGUUUUGUACAAGGUAACUUUUAAGUAUUGAAUUACCUAAUAGACAAUUACUUAGUAAAAUAACAUCAAGCAGGGGCCAAUUACCUAAUUAAGCAUUACCAUAGAAUUAAGCAUUAGCCAACACUAGUUAUUUGAAAAUAGCUAUAGUUCUAAUAAAUGAGGAUCAAAUUUAUUGAUAUAUGUAUUGGUCAUGACAAUAAAACUGAAUGUGAUAUCCUUGAAGCAGACUAUGCAAAGAAGAUGGAAGAGCUCGAGAAAUCAAAGGAAAGUUUGGUUGAGGAGGUCUUGAAGAAGCUCAUAGCGAAGCUACCAAGUGCCAACCGACGUUGUCCAAGAUUUCUUAGCUUAGGAGGACAUAGUACAAGGUUUACAAGAUGAAUCACAGAACCUGGGUAUGGUGUAUAUAUAUACUGUGGACCAUCCUUGUUUUGGUCUCUCUGAUGGACUGCAUGGGUAUAUUUCAAAAUUUGAUGAUUUGGUUGACAAUGUGAUUGAACAAUAUACAAAAAUUAAAGGUUACAAAGCUUUUCAAAGUCCGAAUUGGAAGCAUUUUGAUAUUUAUAUAUUUCUCGUUGAAUCAAGAAUGAAGAAAUGGCUUCUAUUUUGUGUUAAACAUUAUUUUGGGUUUAAAAACUUUUUAGCUAGCAAACUGGCUAGAUAA
Molecule: long non-coding RNA, 1409 nt
Organism: Beta vulgaris subsp. vulgaris (sugar beet)
Lineage: Eukaryota; Viridiplantae; Streptophyta; Magnoliopsida; Caryophyllales; Amaranthaceae
Exons: 3
Source: RefSeq, a predicted model, not a curated record